Molecule: non-coding RNA, 101 nt
Rfam family: Purine riboswitch aptamer
About the family: Riboswitches are metabolite binding domains within certain messenger RNAs that serve as precision sensors for their corresponding targets. Allosteric rearrangement of mRNA structure is mediated by ligand binding, and this results in modulation of gene expression.
UUUAACCUAAAAGCUCCACCUUGUAUAAGUUCAGGAAUAUGGCCUGAACGUUUCUACUAGCUACCGAGAAUGGCUUGUCUACAAGGAAUGAUGAAUACUUC